UUUCAGCAUCCUUCCAUCAUAACAUUGUGGCACCGAGAAAUUUGCUUGAAAACCCUGGAAAAAAUGUCUAUGGGAGAGCCUCGUGUUUGAGAUAGCAUAACUGUUAACAUCAAAUAUAGACUGGGAACUGCCUCGGAUGCAAGAUAGUAUUCCGCAGAGGAAAGGAGCAUUGCAGAGACCGUUGGGCUAUCCACGCACUCCUGAAACUCUGUGCUUCUGCCAGAGUUAUCAGAUUGAAUUAAAGAACUGGGAGAAAGAAAGACCUGGAGAAAAAAAAAUGUUCUUGAAGGGACUUCUAGCUACAAUUUGACUCUCAAGACACUGUUGCUGAAAUAUUUUCACGGUGUUGUUCUAAAAAUCUUUAGCCUCUUAUAAACGUAAUCUUUGGCAAAUGA
This is a long non-coding RNA of Columba livia (rock pigeon), 395 nucleotides long. RefSeq lists it as uncharacterized. The transcript has 2 exons. The record is from RefSeq and is a predicted model, not a curated record. NCBI's taxonomy places the organism in Eukaryota, Metazoa, Chordata, Aves, Columbiformes, Columbidae.